CACUGAUAGCUUCAAAAUUUAUUUUGAUCGCAAUGUCGUUAAUCCUCGUAAAUUUUUGAAAUUAUCGUGACACAUGCCUUUACCUGGAUGCUCAUGCACCAGCAGCGUAGCGGCGACAGUUUUGCUCGCCUUGCUGCUGCUGCCGGCGGAGUUCUUUGUUCCAGACCUCACCCCGAAAUUGCCCCCUACGGCGCUGCCGCAAAACACGAUCUUCGUACCGGGCACAAAUACUUGGUUUUUCCUUGAUUUUCCGCCUCUCGAUAUAUUUUUAACUUUGGUUCUUCUUGUGUGGGCGACCACCACCUACCUGUGCGCUUGGAUACAAAGGAAGAUAAUGGAAAGACGAAUAUUAAAGCUAAGGGCGUCAUUACAAGACUGUGUGAAGCGCGCGCGAGGAUUGGAGGCGCAACAGGAGCAGACGGAGACCAGCAUCAGGCUCGCGCGUGCAGCGGCCGCGGAGUACGGGCUGUUGAUGCAUUUGCUGUUGGCACGCCGACGCCCUUCAUCACAAUUACGCUGCUAAUACGUUUAACCCUUAUUUUCGUAAUUGUAAUUACUGCGGCAAAGACUGGAAAGUAAACCUAGGGUCUCUUUGUCCUUCGUAAACACAAGCGUGACCGCGUGAGCGGUUGCAGUUGUGUAGAAUGAAGAAGGCUUGCGGCUCCCCUCC
Molecule: RNA transcript, 670 nt
Organism: Pieris brassicae (large cabbage white)
Lineage: Eukaryota; Metazoa; Arthropoda; Insecta; Lepidoptera; Pieridae
Exons: 3
Source: RefSeq, a predicted model, not a curated record